This 252-nucleotide ribosomal RNA is filed under the name uncultured bacterium. Its description in RNAcentral is "partial 16S ribosomal RNA". It matches the Rfam family "Bacterial small subunit ribosomal RNA", at positions 524 to 776 of the family's 1533-position model. The record is from RNAcentral.
CACGUAGGGUGCGAGCGUUGUCCGGAAUUAUUGGGCGUAAAGAGCUCGUAGGCGGUGUGUCGCGUCGGCCGUGAAAACCUGCAGCUUAACUGUGGGCUUGCGGUCGAUACGGGCAUCACUGGAGUUCGGCAGGGGAGACUGGAAUUCCUGGUGUAGCGGUGAAAUGCGCAGAUAUCAGGAGGAACACCGGUGGCGAAGGCGGGUCUCUGGCCGAUACUGACGCUGAGGAGCGAAAGCGUGGGAGCGAACAGG